UUUACAUAACUAUUUUUCCCGCCGUCCCAGCUUUAUUUCGUGCAAAUCGAUUUUUCAUGUUUUGCACGAUCUGUUUUCCCGCUCAGUACUCAGUAGUUUGCUAUAUAAUGACUAAAUUAUAAUUGACAUAUUGCAAUGCACUGGACGUUAUACAGGUCACUAUGACGGUGACAGACAAAUUAUAUUUGUCAUAAAAUUACAGCUUGUACAAGCUUCUUAUUUGAGGACACACCCGAAGAUGACACGGGCCCUCCACACGUAUGUCCAUGGCUAAAGGGUGACGCAUGCCCUUGUUCAGGAUCCUAUCAACUGUGCCAACACUGUAGGAAGUACAGUUACGCUUGAUAAGAUUUUAUACAAGACGCCCGCCAUUGUGACGAAUUUUGGUCAACAACGCCACCACUUUAUUGAUACAUAAUGACAGAGACUUUACGGGAGAAAUAGACUGAGAUACGUUGAUAGUGUUUGUUUGCGCAGUGACUUUUCAUAUAUAAUCAUUUUUCAUUUAUAAAUAUUCAUUUAUUGUAAAUAAAUUUGUAUAUAUUUUUC
Molecule: long non-coding RNA, 549 nt
Organism: Ruditapes philippinarum (Manila clam)
Lineage: Eukaryota; Metazoa; Mollusca; Bivalvia; Venerida; Veneridae
Exons: 2
Source: RefSeq, a predicted model, not a curated record